GGGGCGGGGCGAGGGCGGGAUCGGGGGCGGUGCCGGCGGCGCAGAGACCAGCUUCCUGGCAACCUGGCCAAGCACCUGCUGGACAGGCGCCACCAGUUACCUACCAGUUACUGUAUGGGCCUGGCAGGUCACCCAAACUCUCUGAGCCUCUGUGUCCUUACAUCUAAAAUGUGGGUGGUAGUAGAGUCUACCUCCCUGCGUUAUUAAGGGGAUGAGAACUUGAGAAGGAAGAAGUGAUGGAGAAACCGAGGCAUAGAAGAACAGAGCUAGCGGGACGGAAGAGGAACCAGAUGUUCUCUCCCACCUGCCAGUAGGCAACUCCAGGAUCCAAUGAGGCAUCAAUGUUGGUGGAUGGAGCCCCUUAGCUGGAUGGAGUCCAGUGUCCAGGAGAGACUGAUUGGCAAUGACCCCCUCUUCAGUGGAACUCAGCACGGAGGGGCUACGGUCUUCAGAAGAGGACAGCAUCCCUUUCCCCGGUUCUCUUUGUGCCCACCUUGCCCUAACAUUGAGCCUCCACAUCGUCAGCUGCAAAGCGGAGAAAGAAAGAAAGUGGCAGCCCAGCUGGGACAAAUCCAAGCAGCCCACCAAGACCCGCAAGGACCUGGAGAAAUGGUGCGGCAGGCACACGUGCAUUCUGUGGGGUACCAGGCGGCCAGCCGCUCCCCAGCAGGACUCUGUGAAUAUGUUGCCUUACACGGUAAAAGGGGCUUCCCUGUUGCAAUCUAGUCACGGAUCUGGAGAUGGGUAAGUCAUCCUGGAUUAUCCCCGUAGGCCCGAUGCUGUAGGCGGACCACAGUGAGUAGUAGGUGUGCCAGCAAGAGCAUGUGUCUUGUGAGGGAGGGGUUGUGAGCCAAGGAAGGAGGCCGCUUUCUAGAAGCUGGAAAACUCAGCCUCUCUCCUGCAGCCCUCAGAAGGGACAUGGCGGUGCUGACCCCUUCAUUUUAGAUUUCGGGUACCCGGAAGCGUAAGGUAAUAAAUCAGCGUGGUUUUAGGCCACUAAAUUUGUGGAAAUUAAUACAAUAGGCACAGGAUGAGAAUUUGUGAGUUACUGUAGGUAACAGCUGCAGUGCCUAGCGCAGCUGGUGCUUGGUGGACGGGGCUCAGAGGGCCGCUGGUAAUCGGGGCGACGGGGAGGAGUCCGCAGGAGUGCAGGGAUUCAAAACUCCAUGCAUACCGCGAAGCCACAGCAAUGGCUAAUAAAGAAGUGGCUGUUCCGUAGGCAUCGGCGUGGAGACCAGCGGGUGACGCGGACAGGAUGAGGACGAUGACGUCACUGCUGUUUUCUGCAACCCCCUGCCUGUCAGGCACUGAGCUAAGCGCUCUCCCUCCUUCCGAUCCUCAUAAGGAUGCGCGGGAUCUCUUUCAGUCCGAGAGAAACCACAAAGCCAUUUGGACUGGAGAAGUCUGACAUAAAGAAUUAUUAACUGGGGGGACGCCUGGGUGGCUCAGUUGGUUGGACGACUGCUUUCGGCUCAGGUCAUGAUCC
This is a long non-coding RNA of Mustela erminea (ermine), 1486 nucleotides long. RefSeq lists it as uncharacterized. The record is from RefSeq and is a predicted model, not a curated record. The transcript has 5 exons. NCBI's taxonomy places the organism in Eukaryota, Metazoa, Chordata, Mammalia, Carnivora, Mustelidae.